Molecule: ribosomal RNA, 497 nt
Filed under: uncultured bacterium
Lineage: Bacteria
Description: partial 16S ribosomal RNA
Rfam family: Bacterial small subunit ribosomal RNA
Source: RNAcentral
GAUGAACGCUGGCGGCGUGCCUAAUACAUGCAAGUCGAGCGAACGGACGAGAAGCUUGCUUCUCUGAUGUUAGCGGCGGACGGGUGAGUAACACGUGGAUAACCUACCUAUAAGACUGGGAUAACUUCGGGAAACCGGAGCUAAUACCGGAUAAUAUUUUGAACCGCAUGGUUCAAAAGUGAAGGACGGUCUUGCUGUCACUUAUAGAUGGAUCCGCGCUGCAUUAGCUAGUUGGUAAGGUAACGGCUUACCAAGGCAACGAUGCAUAGCCGACCUGAGAGGGUGAUCGGCCACACUGGAACUGAGACACGGUCCAGACUCCUACGGGAGGCAGCAGUAGGGAAUCUUCCGCAAUGGGCGAAAGCCUGACGGAGCAACGCCGCGUGAGUGAUGAAGGUCUUCGGAUCGUAAAACCCUGUUAUUAGGGAAGAACAUAUGUGUAAGUAACUGUGCACAUCUUGACGGUACCUAAUCAGAAAGCCACGGCUAACUACGUG